GUGGGGAAUAUUGGACAAUGGGCGAAAGCCUGAUCCAGCCAUGCCGCGUGUGUGAAGAAGGUCUUCGGAUUGUAAAGCACUUUAAGUUGGGAGGAAGGGUAGUAACCUAAUACGUUGCUACUUUGACGUUACCGACAGAAUAAGCACCGGCUAACUUCGUGCCAGCAGCCGCGGUAAUACGAAGGGUGCAAGCGUUAAUCGGAAUUACUGGGCGUAAAGUGCGCGUAGGUGGUUCAGCAAGUUGGAGGUGAAAUCCCCGGGCUCAACCUGGGAACUGCCUCCAAAACUACUGGGCUAGAGUACGGUAGAGGGUAGUGGAAUUUCCUGUGUAGCGGUGAAAUGCGUAGAUAUAGGAAGGAACACCAGUGGCGAAGGCGACUACCUGGACUGAUACUGACACUGAGGUGCGAAAGCGUGGGGAGCAAACAGGAUUAGAAACCCUAGUAGUCC
RNAcentral lists this ribosomal RNA (450 nucleotides) under uncultured bacterium. RNAcentral describes it as "partial 16S ribosomal RNA". It matches the Rfam family "Bacterial small subunit ribosomal RNA", at positions 354 to 796 of the family's 1533-position model. The record is from RNAcentral.